CGGGACACGUGGUAUCCUGUCUGAAUAUGGGGGGACCAUCCUCCAAGGCUAAAUACUCCUGACUGACCGAUAGUGAACCAGUACCGUGAGGGAAAGGCGAAAAGAACCCCGGCGAGGGGAGUGAAAAAGAACCUGAAACCGUGUACGUACAAGCAGUGGGAGCCUCUUUAUGGGGUGACUGCGUACCUUUUGUAUAAUGGGUCAGCGACUUAUAUUCUGUAGCAAGGUUAACCGAAUAGGGGAGCCGAAGGGAAACCGAGUCUUAACUGGGCGUUAAGUUGCAGGGUAUAGACCCGAAACCCGGUGAUCUAGCCAUGGGCAGGUUGAAGGUUGGGUAACACUAACUGGAGGACCGAACCGACUAAUGUUGAAAAAUUAGCGGAUGACUUGUGGCUGGGGGUGAAAGGCCAAUCAAACCGGGAGAUAGCUGGUUCUCCCCGAAAGCUAUUUAGGUAGCGCCUCGUGAAUUCAUCUCCGGGGGUAGAGCACUGUUUCGGCAAGGGGGUCAUCCCGACUUACCAACCCGAUGCAAACUGCGAAUACCGGAGAAUGUUAUCACGGGAGACACACGGCGGGUGCUAACGUCCGUCGUGAAGAGGGAAACAACCCAGACCGCCAGCUAAGGUCCCAAAGUCAUGGUUAAGUGGGAAACGAUGUGGGAAGGCCCAGACAGCCAGGAUGUUGGCUUAGAAGCAGCCAUCAUUUAAAGAAAGCGUAAUAGCUCACUGGUCGAGUCGGCCUGCGCGGAAGAUGUAACGGGGCUAAACCAUGCACCGAAGCUGCGGCAGCGACGCUUAUGCGUUGUUGGGUAGGGGAGCGUUCUGUAAGCCUGCGAAGGUGUGCUGUGAGGCAUGCUGGAGGUAUCAGAAGUGCGAAUGCUGACAUAAGUAACGAUAAAGCGGGUGAAAAGCCCGCUCGCCGGAAGACCAAGGGUUCCUGUCCAACGUUAAUCGGGGCAGGGUGAGUCGACCCCUAAGGCGAGGCCGAAAGGCGUAGUCGAUGGGAAACAGGUUAAUAUUCCUGUACUUGGUGUUACUGCGAAGGGGGGACGGAGAAGGCUAUGUUGGCCGGGCGACGGUUGUCCCGGUUUAAGCGUGUAGGCUGGUUUUCCAGGCAAAUCCGGAAAAUCAAGGCUGAGGCGUGAUGACGAGGCACUACGGUGCUGAAGCAACAAAUGCCCUGCUUCCAGGAAAAGCCUCUAAGCAUCAGGUAACAUCAAAUCGUACCCCAAACCGACACAGGUGGUCAGGUAGAGAAUACCAAGGCGCUUGAGAGAACUCGGGUGAAGGAACUAGGCAAAAUGGUGCCGUAACUUCGGGAGAAGGCACGCUGAUAUGUAGGUGAAGCGACUUGCUCGUGGAGCUGAAAUCAGUCGAAGAUACCAGCUGGCUGCAACUGUUUAUUAAAAACACAGCACUGUGCAAACACGAAAGUGGACGUAUACGGUGUGACGCCUGCCCGGUGCCGGAAGGUUAAUUGAUGGGGUUAGCGGUAACGCGAAGCUCUUGAUCGAAGCCCCGGUAAACGGCGGCCGUAACUAUAACGGUCCUAAGGUAGCGAAAUUCCUUGUCGGGUAAGUUCCGACCUGCACGAAUGGCGUAAUGAUGGCCAGGCUGUCUCCACCCGAGACUCAGUGAAAUUGAACUCGCUGUGAAGAUGCAGUGUACCCGCGGCAAGACGGAAAGACCCCGUGAACCUUUACUAUAGCUUGACACUGAACAUUGAGCCUUGAUGUGUAGGAUAGGUGGGAGGCUUUGAAGUGUGGACGCCAGUCUGCAUGGAGCCGGCCUUGAAAUACCACCCUUUAAUGUUUGAUGUUCUAACGUUGGCCCCUGAUCGGGGUUGCGGACAGUGUCUGGUGGGUAGUUUGACUGGGGCGGUCUCCUCCUAAAGAGUAACGGAGGAGCACGAAGGUUGGCUAAUCCUGGUCGGACAUCAGGAGGUUAGUGCAAUGGCAUAAGCCAGCUUGACUGCGAGCGUGACGGCGCGAGCAGGUGCGAAAGCAGGUCAUAGUGAUCCGGUGGUUCUGAAUGGAAGGGCCAUCGCUCAACGGAUAAAAGGUACUCCGGGGAUAACAGGCUGAUACCGCCCAAGAGUUCAUAUCGACGGCGGUGUUUGGCACCUCGAUGUCGGCUCAUCACAUCCUGGGGCUGAAGUAGGUCCCAAGGGUAUGGCUGUUCGCCAUUUAAAGUGGUACGCGAGCUGGGUUUAGAACGUCGUGAGACAGUUCGGUCCCUAUCUGCCGUGGGCGCUGGAGAACUGAGGGGGGCUGCUCCUAGUACGAGAGGACCGGAGUGGACGCAUCACUGGUGUUCGGGUUGUCAUGCCAAUGGCACUGCCCGGUAGCUAAAUGCGGAAGAGAUAAGUGCUGAAAGCAUCUAAGCACGAAACUUGCCCCGAGAUGAGUUCUCCCUGAGACUUUAAGUCUCCUGAAGGAACGUUGAAGACGACGACGUUGAUAGGCCGGGUGUGUAAGCGCAGCGAUGCGUUGAGCUAACCGGUACUAAUGAACCGUGAG
RNAcentral lists this ribosomal RNA (2518 nucleotides) under Escherichia coli. RNAcentral's name for it is "partial 23S ribosomal RNA". It matches the Rfam family "Bacterial large subunit ribosomal RNA", at positions 418 to 2915 of the family's 2925-position model. The record is from RNAcentral. Lineage: Bacteria; Pseudomonadati; Pseudomonadota; Gammaproteobacteria; Enterobacterales; Enterobacteriaceae.